RNAcentral lists this ribosomal RNA (541 nucleotides) under uncultured bacterium. Its description in RNAcentral is "bacterial SSU rRNA". It matches the Rfam family "Bacterial small subunit ribosomal RNA", at positions 359 to 917 of the family's 1533-position model. The record is from RNAcentral.
CAGAAUUGCGCAUGGGCGAAGCCUGACGCAGCGACNCCGCGUGAGGNAAGAAGGCCUUCGGGUCUCNAACCUCUUUUCUUGGGGAAGAAUAAUGACGGUACCCAGGGAAUAAGUCACGGCUAACUCCGUGCCAGCAGCCGCGGUAAUACGUAGGCGGCGAGCAUUAUCCGGAUUUACUGGGCGUAAAGCGGGUAUAGGUGGUUUUUCAAGUCGGAUGUGAAAUUUCUCGGCUCAACCGGGACGGGUCAUUCGAUACUGUUAGACUAGAGGGCAGCAGAGGGAGAUGGAAUUCCCGGUGUAGUGGUGAAAUGCGUAGAUAUCGGGAGGAACACCAGUGGCGAAAGCGGUCUCCUGGGCUGUUCCUGACACUGAGGCCCAAAAGCGUGGGGAGCAAACAGGAUUAGAUACCCUGGUAGUCCACGCCUUAAACGAUGGAUACUAGGUAUGGGGGGUAUCGACCCCCUCCGUGCCAAAGUUAACACCUUAAGUAUCCCGCCUGGGGAGUACGGUCGCAAGACUAAAACUCAAAAGAAUUGACGGA